GUUUUAGUAGUUUAAAUAAAACUUUGGUCUUGUAAAUCAAAAAUAAGGAAUUAUCACCUUCUAAAUCU
This 68-nucleotide transfer RNA is filed under the name Sinacroneuria dabieshana. RNAcentral's name for it is "tRNA-Thr". It matches the Rfam family "tRNA". Rfam says of the family: Transfer RNA (tRNA) molecules are approximately 80 nucleotides in length. Their secondary structure includes four short double-helical elements and three loops (D, anti-codon, and T loops). Further hydrogen bonds mediate the characteristic L-shaped molecular structure. tRNAs have two regions of fundamental functional importance: the anti-codon, which is responsible for specific mRNA codon recognition, and the 3' end, to which the tRNAs corresponding amino acid is attached (by aminoacyl-tRNA synthetases). tRNAs cope with the degeneracy of the genetic code in two manners: having more than one tRNA (with a specific anti-codon) for a particular amino acid; and 'wobble' base-pairing, i.e. permitting non-standard base-pairing at the 3rd anti-codon position. The record is from RNAcentral. Lineage: Eukaryota; Metazoa; Arthropoda; Insecta; Plecoptera; Perlidae.